RNAcentral lists this ribosomal RNA (448 nucleotides) under uncultured bacterium. RNAcentral describes it as "SSU rRNA". It matches the Rfam family "Bacterial small subunit ribosomal RNA", at positions 26 to 518 of the family's 1533-position model. The record is from RNAcentral.
AGAGUGAACGCUGGCGGCAGGCUUAACACAUGCAAGUCGAGCGGGCGUAGCAAUACGUCAGCGGCAGACGGGUGAGUAACGCGUGGGAACGUACCUUUUGGUUCGGAACAACACAGGGAAACUUGUGCUAAUACCGGAUAAGCCCUUACGGGGAAAGAUUUAUCGCCGAAAGAUCGGCCCGCGUCUGAUUAGCUAGUUGGUGAGGUAACGGCUCACCAAGGCGACGAUCAGUAGCUGGUCUGAGAGGAUGAUCAGCCACAUUGGGACUGAGACACGGCCCAAACUCCUACGGGAGGCAGCAGUGGGGAAUAUUGGACAAUGGGCGCAAGCCUGAUCCAGCCAUGCCGCGUGAGUGAUGAAGGCCCUAGGGUUGUAAAGCUCUUUUGUGCGGGAAGAUAAUGACGGUACCGCAAGAAUAAGCCCCGGCUAACUUCGUGCCAGCAGCCGC